Populus trichocarpa (black cottonwood) is the source of this 1531-nucleotide long non-coding RNA. RefSeq lists it as uncharacterized. The record is from RefSeq and is a predicted model, not a curated record. The transcript has 2 exons. NCBI's taxonomy places the organism in Eukaryota, Viridiplantae, Streptophyta, Magnoliopsida, Malpighiales, Salicaceae.
CGAUUCCUCUGUUGAAACAGCAAAACGACGAAUCGUAUUUGCCACCGCUGGAUUCCGUUUGAAUUUACCGGACGACGAUGGUUUUGCACAACAACGGACCGUCGUUGGAAAACCGGCCGCGAAAAAACAAGCUCCAUUUACAGCCAUGAGAACACCCCAGGUCGGUUUUAAUAAUGACAAGCCGGCUCAGAUGUUUAACGUUUUACCUCUUUAGAAUUUAUGAUUAAGAGAAUCAUCUAUUGUUAAAGGCACAGGACAGGCCGUCACAAGGGUCCUCUGCGAUGACAAUACCAAGAUAGGUCUCAACCACAUGCUGCCUGAUCUGAUGUGAGGUAGGAUUGUUAUUUAUUAGUAAUUAAAGUUUUGAUUUUUGAUUUUAUUUUUUUAUAUCUUUAUAAAAAAAUAUAAAAAAACUAACAAAAAAAGCAACAAUAAAAAUAGAUAGAGGUUUCCAAAAAGAGGAUUGAAUUAUAAUUUUUUUUUAAGAGAGAGAUAUCAUAGCCUUUAUUGCAUUUCAAAAGCUUUUGGAAAAAAAUAAUUUUUUUUUGUUUUAUAUAAUUUUUUUUUGUUUUUAAAUAAUUUUAAUGUAGUUAUGAUAAAAAUAAAUUUUUAAUAUAUGUAUAUAUUAUUUGAAUGUAUUUUAAAAAAAUAUAUAUUUUAUAAAGUAAUUAUUACCAUAAUAUAAAACGGACUCUGAUAUUAAUAGAGUUAUAACAUUAAAGCUAAGAAUCUUGUUUAUGCGGUUUUAAAUUGAUGAUUUUGUAUAAAAAAAAUUUACAAUCUUAAUGUAUUAGUAUUAAAAUAGUUAAAAAACACUAAAUAUUUUAUAAAAUAAUUAUUACCAUAAUAUAAAACAGACUCUAAUAUUAAUAGAGUUAUAACAUUAGAGCUUAGAAUCUUGUUUAUAUUGUUUAAAAUUGAUGAUUUUGUAUAAUUUUUUUUUAUGAUAUUAAUGUAUUAAUAUUAAAUUGGUUAAAAAACACUAAUUUUAUUAUAAAAAAAUGAAAGGAAAAGGAAAAAAAGGAAACAUCAAUCUAAAAAUACUUAUGGAAAAACACCUACAAUUUAUUAUCAAUUAAGUGUUAGAACUAUCUAAAAUAGAGAGUUACAUACAAGAAGUCGAAAUCGAGAGCAUUUAUUAACUUGUGUCGUAUGUGGAGACAUAGCAGAUGGGAUACAACCAAAUUAUGGUGUCGAGCUCUCAUAAUGUCCAGCUUGAUGUGAUUUAUGCUUAUUAUUUAUUUACUUAUUAAUCAAACGAAGGAAAGCUCAGCCUGACGAACAAGUAAGCUCACAUUGAAAAGACAAAGUUCUUCCAGAUGGUUGAUAGAAGGUUCCAUGCUUCGCCCUCUUAUUUUUGGUUUAUUAUAUAGUUUUGCUGAAGGACAAUAACUAGUGUGUUGAAGAAAGAUGUUAAUCACAUCGCUUUUAUUUAAUUUAUGCUGCUCAUUAUAUAAUAUUUCAAAAAGGGUCAUCCCUGCUAUUGAAUAUAGAAAUUGUUAGUGAUAUAAAAUUGAAAAUGUUGAAGAUA